Acomys russatus (golden spiny mouse) is the source of this 321-nucleotide long non-coding RNA. RefSeq lists it as uncharacterized. The record is from RefSeq and is a predicted model, not a curated record. The transcript has 3 exons. Lineage: Eukaryota; Metazoa; Chordata; Mammalia; Rodentia; Muridae.
GGAACAGGUUGCGGUGGUACUGAUGUAGGAACAGGUUGAGGUGGUACUGAUGUAGGAACAGGUUGAGGUGGUACUGAUGUAGGAACAGGUUGAGAUGGUACUGAUGUAGGAACAGGUUGAGGUGGUACUGAUGUAGGAACAGGCUGAGGUGGUACUGAUGUAGGAACAGGCUGAGGUGGUACUGAUGUAGGAACAGGCUGAGGUGGUACUGAUGUAGGAACAGGCUGAGGUGGUACUGAUGUAGGAACAGGCUGAGGUGGUACUGAUGUAGGAACAGGCUGAGGUGGUACUGAUGUAGGAACAGGCUGAGGUGGUACUGAU